GAUGAACGCUGGCGGCGUGCCUAAUACAUGCAAGUCGAGCGAACGGACGCGAAGCUUGCUUCUCUGAUGUUAGCGGCGGACGGGUGAGUAACACGUGGAUAACCUACCUAUAAGACUGGGAUAACUUCGGGAAACCGGAGCUAAUACCGGAUAAUAUUUUGCACCGCAUGGUUCAAAAGUGAAAGACGGUCUUGCUGUCACUUAUAGCUGCAUCUGCGCUGCAUUAGCUAGUUGGUAAGGUCAAGGCUUAUCAAGGCAACGAUGCAUAACCGACCUGAGAGGGGGAUCGGCCACACUGGAACUGAAACACGGACCAUACGCCUACGGGAGGCAGCAGUAGGGAAUCUGCCGCAAUAGGCGAAAGCCUGACGGAGCAACGCCGCGUGAGUGAUGAAGGUCUUCGGAUCGUAAAACUCUGUUAUUAGGGAAGAACAUAUGUGUAAGUAACUGUGCACAUCGUGACGGUACCUAAUCAGAAAGCCACGGCUAACUACGUG
Molecule: ribosomal RNA, 497 nt
Filed under: uncultured bacterium
Lineage: Bacteria
Description: partial 16S ribosomal RNA
Rfam family: Bacterial small subunit ribosomal RNA
Source: RNAcentral